GGAAGAGUGGCAGAGUGGCCUAAUGCGUCUGUCUUGAAAACAGAAGUACCGAAAGGUACCGGGGGUUCGAAUCCCUCCUCUUCCG
This 85-nucleotide transfer RNA is filed under the name Waddliaceae bacterium. RNAcentral's name for it is "tRNA-Ser". It matches the Rfam family "tRNA". From Rfam's summary of the family: Transfer RNA (tRNA) molecules are approximately 80 nucleotides in length. Their secondary structure includes four short double-helical elements and three loops (D, anti-codon, and T loops). Further hydrogen bonds mediate the characteristic L-shaped molecular structure. tRNAs have two regions of fundamental functional importance: the anti-codon, which is responsible for specific mRNA codon recognition, and the 3' end, to which the tRNAs corresponding amino acid is attached (by aminoacyl-tRNA synthetases). tRNAs cope with the degeneracy of the genetic code in two manners: having more than one tRNA (with a specific anti-codon) for a particular amino acid; and 'wobble' base-pairing, i.e. permitting non-standard base-pairing at the 3rd anti-codon position. Lineage: Bacteria; Pseudomonadati; Chlamydiota; Chlamydiia; Parachlamydiales; Waddliaceae. The record is from RNAcentral.